GCUCCGGUGGCCAAGUGGUUAGAGCAUCUGCCUUGGAUGCUGGAGGUCGUGGGUUCAAACCCUGGCUAAGUCA
This is a non-coding RNA of Potamilus streckersoni, 73 nucleotides long. NCBI's taxonomy places the organism in Eukaryota, Metazoa, Mollusca, Bivalvia, Unionida, Unionidae. The record is from the annotation of a GenBank genome assembly.